Molecule: long non-coding RNA, 1027 nt
Filed under: Mytilus galloprovincialis (Mediterranean mussel)
Lineage: Eukaryota; Metazoa; Mollusca; Bivalvia; Mytilida; Mytilidae
Source: RNAcentral
AUUGUGACUUGGAUGAAGAGUGAACUUGUCUCAUUGGCACUCAUAAACAUCUUCUUAUUUAUAUUCUUAAAGUUUCUAUUGUUGAAUAAACUUGUUCAUUGUUAUGUAUUAGCUAAUAUAUGAAAAGGUGAAACUGGGGUUUCUGAACCUACUGGCAUACGUGACAACAGUUUGAUGCCUGCCACACCUUCGAGCCAAUCUUUAGGCAAGGCCAUUUUUGAUAUUCGGGAGGGGGGGUUGAAAACCAAUAUUUGGGCCUGAUAAUUAAUUAAACUGAUUAAUUAGCUCAAGGCAGGUGGAAAAUAAAAAAAAUACAGGUAGCUAUGCAAAAAAUGAAGAAGAAAAAAUUAUGCACCCAACCUUUCUCGGGACACUCCAGCUUUCUUCUCCAAUUAAUACUGACAUCCACAAAAUAUUCCAAGCGUGUACACAGGGGCUCGGUUAGCAGAAAUAUUUUUUGUUAUCAAUAAGAAUGAAGAAUGAAAACGGAAAGUGUCAAAGAGACAACUCGACCAAAAUUUACAAAACAACUCAAGGCCACCAAUGGGUCAUAAACAUAGCGAAAAAUCCCGUACCAAGUGUACAGUAGGGCUUGAUGGGCAUUUUUUUUAUAUCAGGAUUAUUUGUAUUAACACAUUUCACUUUUCCCGAAUGUGACCUACCGAAUUAUUACCAGUGUUGUACUAACAUGAGCAAAACUACGGGUGUCAAAUAUGGAGCAGGUUCUGUUUACCCAACGAGCACCUAAUAUAAAAAAGAAGAUUUAGUGUAAUUGCCAAUGAGACAACUCUUCACAAGAGACCAAAUGACACAGAAAUUAACAACUAUAGUCACGUACGGCCUUGAACAAUGAGCCAAUCCCAUACCGCAUAGUCAGCUAUAAAGGCCCGAAAUGACAAAUGUAAAACAAUUCAAACGAGAAAACUAACGGCCUUUUUAAUGUAAAAAUAAAUGAACGAAAAACAAAUAUAUAACACAGCAACCAACGACAUCCACUGAAUUACCUAAGAUCACCAAUUUUUUUUUG